UACAGAGGGUGCAAGCGUUAACCGGAAUUACUGGGCGUAAAGCGUGCGUAGUCGGCCAUUUAAGUCGGGUGUGAAAUCCCCGGGCUCAACCUGGGAAUUGCAUUCGGUACUGGAUGGCUAGAGUUCGGCAGAGGGAAGCGGAAUUUCCGGUGUAGCGGUGAAAUGCGUAGAUAUCGGAAGGAACAUCAGUGGCGAAAGCGGCUUCCUGGACCAGAACUGACGAUCAGGCACGAAAGCGUGGGGAGCAAACAGG
This 253-nucleotide ribosomal RNA is filed under the name uncultured bacterium. RNAcentral's name for it is "partial 16S ribosomal RNA". It matches the Rfam family "Bacterial small subunit ribosomal RNA", at positions 524 to 776 of the family's 1533-position model. The record is from RNAcentral.